GUGGAUUAGAUACCCUGGUAGUCCACACCGUAAACGUUGGGCGCUAGGUGUGGGCCUAUUCCAUGGGUUCCGUGCCGCAGCUAACGCAUUAAGCGCCCCGCCUGGGGAGUACGGCCGCAAGGCUAAAACUCAAAGGAAUUGACGGGGGCCCGCACAAGCGGCGGAGCAUGCGGAUUAAUUCGAUGCAACGCGAAGAACCUUACCUGGGUUUGACAUACGCCGGAAACACCUAGAGAUAGGUGCCCUUUUUGUCGGUGUACAGGUGGUGCACGGCCGUCGCCAGCU
This 285-nucleotide ribosomal RNA is filed under the name uncultured bacterium. RNAcentral describes it as "partial 16S ribosomal RNA". It matches the Rfam family "Bacterial small subunit ribosomal RNA", at positions 773 to 1060 of the family's 1533-position model. The record is from RNAcentral.